Molecule: transfer RNA, 73 nt
Filed under: Marmota monax (woodchuck)
Lineage: Eukaryota; Metazoa; Chordata; Mammalia; Rodentia; Sciuridae
Description: tRNA.Ala
Rfam family: tRNA
About the family: Transfer RNA (tRNA) molecules are approximately 80 nucleotides in length. Their secondary structure includes four short double-helical elements and three loops (D, anti-codon, and T loops).
Source: RNAcentral
UGUGGCUGUGGCUCAGUAGCAGAGCACUUGCCUAGCAUGUGUGAGACCCUGGGUUCGAUCCUUAGCACCACAA